AGAAAAACUUGAUUCAGUCAAAAAGCCCAAGACAGGAGGAGGUCCACCCCUCCCACCACUAACACCUGGGGAAGAGACUUUUCUGAACUUGUCAGUAGGCCAACCAAAUGUCCAUGGUUUAAAUGGAGGUGUUGAUUCUGAUGAGCAGCAGAUUACCAACUCCAUUCAAAAUGAAAACAAUACUUUCUGGUGAAAAGCGGUAUCUUUGGAAGAUUUCGUCCUCCUCCAGACUCUCAAGAGGAUUACUAAGGUCCCGAAAUACCCGAGGUCGUCUUAAAAUGCGCUGAUUUUGUCUCCUCUGACGUCUGCGUCUGAUCAUAGCAGCCAUUUUUAAUGCUUGAGAACGUUCUUAAGUCUGCAUUUUUGUAGACUCAAAUAUUUGAGAAUAAAACUGAUUUUGAGAAU
Ostrea edulis (European flat oyster) is the source of this 405-nucleotide long non-coding RNA. RefSeq lists it as uncharacterized. NCBI's taxonomy places the organism in Eukaryota, Metazoa, Mollusca, Bivalvia, Ostreida, Ostreidae. The record is from RefSeq and is a predicted model, not a curated record. The transcript has 2 exons.